This 244-nucleotide ribosomal RNA is filed under the name Betaproteobacteria bacterium. RNAcentral's name for it is "partial 23S ribosomal RNA". It matches the Rfam family "Bacterial large subunit ribosomal RNA", at positions 2683 to 2925 of the family's 2925-position model. Lineage: Bacteria; Pseudomonadati; Pseudomonadota; Betaproteobacteria. The record is from RNAcentral.
ACGAGAGGAUUUGGAAGGACGUUCCUCUGGUGUUCCAGUUGUCACGCUAGUGGCACGGCUGGAUAGCUAUGAACGGAACGGAUAAACGCUGAAAGCAUAUAAGCGUGAAGCCCGCCCCAAGAUCAGGUUUCGUAGGGCUUAUGCCCGAAAGUCCCCUGGAAGACGACCAGGUUGAUAGGCCGGACGUGUACGUGCAGCGAUGCACUCAGCUAACCGGUACUAACGGACGAACGCUUGACCACUC